GUAUUGUAUAAAACAUAACAUAUUUUAUUCAUACUGUUUUUUUAUUUUUUUUAUUUUAAGGACUGUGAAUUCCUAUAGACCCUCCCCUCCCCCUAAAAAAAGGGAAGACAACUCAGUGCUCAGUUUUGGAAACAGAUGCUUCCUAUGUUCCUCUGUAUGCUUGUACAGCUGUUUCGAGCUAACUAGGUUUUUAGAGGCUCUAAUUUAAGUUAAUUUUGCCUAUCUGGUCAACCCUAGCCCCCCUCCGGAAUUCGGUGGGUAGCCUAGCAGAGAAAACGGCAGGUGAAAAGGCUGCACACCGUGGCAGUCGGUUGGUUUCCACUGGUGAUGAAUAAAUAACGGGACAAAAGCAGCGUCGCGUCUGUCGCACAUAUCACAGCUGCUGUAUCGGCUGCAGACGAGAGGAGAAAGCCAUCCGACAGCAGCAACCAACUCUAUCAUCUCCACUAGAGGGAGGGCUAUCUCACAACAAGGCCACCAAGGAGCUGCAUCUGAGGGUCAGCAUGUGGUGAGUCAGUAGAAGCGAGCCAGCGAGCGCCUGAUCUCCGAGCGAGGCUUGUCAGCGUGGUCCUGAGUGGGCUGUGUGGAGCUUCUGUCAGAGAGUGUCACAUUUCCACGGCCCACACUGUGGCUCCUCUGUCCUCCUCAUGGCUGCAGCUCAAUGGGUCCUUUGAUGGGCCAACCCGAGGCCUUUCAUCAUCCAUCUCGCCACGGGGCACGGGGGCCAUGGGGGGUUGUGCCUCACAACACCUGGCAGAACACGAUGAUGAGGGGCAGCGCUCAGACAUGGGGCAGUCACCAGACUGCGUAAGUACUUCAUCAAGUUGAUUAUAAGAAACUGUGAAUGUUAUGUUAAAAUCUGAUACCACAUUCAGAUCCC
Molecule: long non-coding RNA, 880 nt
Organism: Oreochromis aureus
Lineage: Eukaryota; Metazoa; Chordata; Actinopteri; Cichliformes; Cichlidae
Source: Ensembl